Molecule: ribosomal RNA, 468 nt
Filed under: uncultured bacterium
Lineage: Bacteria
Description: partial 16S ribosomal RNA
Rfam family: Bacterial small subunit ribosomal RNA
Source: RNAcentral
GACGAACGCUGGCGGCGUGCUUAACACAUGCAAGUCGAACGGAAAGGCCCUGCUUUUGUGGGGUGCUCGAGUGGCGAACGGGUGAGUAACACGUGAGUAACCUGUCCUUGACUGUGGGAUAACUUCAGGAAACUGGGGCUAAUACCGGAUAGGAGCUCCUGCUGCAUGGUGGGGGUUGGAAAGUUUCGGCGGUUGGGGAUGGACUCGCGGCUUAUCAGCUUGUUGGUGGGGUAGUGGCUUACCAAGGCUUUGACGGGUAGCCGGCCUGAGAGGGUGACCGGCCACAAUGGGACUGCGAUACGGCCCAGACUCCUACGGGAGGCAGCAGUGGAGAAUAUUGCACAAUGGGCGGAAGCCUGAUGCGGCAACGCCGCGUGCGGGAUGACGGCCUUCGGGUUGUGAACCGCUUUCGCCUGAGACGAGGCGUGAGUGACGGUAAUGGGUAAAGAAGCACCGGCUAACUACGUG